GUGGGGAAUAUUGGACAAUGGGCGCAAGCCUGAUCCAGCCAUGCCGCGUGAGUGAUGAAGGCCCUAGGGUUGUAAAGCUCUUUCACCGGUGAAGAUAAUGACGGUAACCGGAGAAGAAGCCCCGGCUAACUUCGUGCCAGCAGCCGCGGGAAUACGAAGGGGGCUCGCGUUGUCCGGAAUUACUGGGCGUAAAGCGCACGUAGGCGGACAUUUAAGUCAGGGGUGAAAUCCCAGAGCUCAACUCUGGAACUGCCUUUGAUACUGGGUGUCUUGAGUAUGGAAGAGGUAAGUGGAAUUCCGAGUGUAGAGGUGAAAUUCGUAGAUAUUCGGAGGAACACCAGUGGCGAAGGCGGCUUACUGGUCCAUUACUGACGCUGAGGUGCGAAAGCGUGGGGAGCAAACAGGAUUAGAAACCCCGGUAGUCC
RNAcentral lists this ribosomal RNA (425 nucleotides) under uncultured bacterium. Its description in RNAcentral is "partial 16S ribosomal RNA". It matches the Rfam family "Bacterial small subunit ribosomal RNA", at positions 354 to 796 of the family's 1533-position model. The record is from RNAcentral.